Molecule: ribosomal RNA, 494 nt
Filed under: uncultured bacterium
Lineage: Bacteria
Description: partial 16S ribosomal RNA
Rfam family: Bacterial small subunit ribosomal RNA
Source: RNAcentral
GACGAACGCUGGCGGCGUGCUUAACACAUGCAAGUCGAACGGUGAAGCGCCUUCCUUUUUGGUGGGUGUGGAUGAGUGGCGAACGGGUGAGUAACACGUGGGUAACCUGCCCCCUUCUUCUGGAUAACCGCAUGAAAGUGUGGCUAAUACGGGAUAUUCUGGGUCUGUCGCAUGAUGGGUCUGGGAAAGAUAUUGUUUCGGUGGGGGAUGGGCUCGCGGCCUAUCAGCUUGUUGGUGGGGUGAUGGCCUACCAAGGCGGUGACGGGUAGCCGGCCUGAGAGGGUGGACGGUCACACUGGGACUGAGACACGGCCCAGACUCCUACGGGAGGCAGCAGUGGGGAAUAUUGCACAAUGGGCGCAAGCCUGAUGCAGCGACGCCGCGUGAGGGAUGGAGGCCUGCGGGUUGUGAACCUCUUUCGCCAGUGAAGCAGGCCUGCCUCGUUUGUGGGUGGGUUGACGGUAGCUGGAUAAGAAGCGCCGGCUAACUACGUG